GGGCGAGGGGCUGCGCGGAGAAGGGUCGGGGGGCCCGCGCGGCCCCGGCUCCGGGGAGCUUCCCGCGGCGGCCUGGAGAUGCGGGAGAGGAGGGAGGGGCGGGGAGGGGCGGGAGGGCGAGAGGAAGAAGGGGUGAGCGCAGAAACCUGCCGCUGCUCGCUGCCUCUUUGUCUGCUCCGGGACUUGGAACAAAAGGGGGAACUCUGAUGAACUCUCCUCGCCGCGCUCCCCCGCGCGCCCGCCUCGAUCUCCGCCCGCAACUUGGCCGCCGCGCCUUUCGCCGCUGUCAGGCCCCCCCCCAAAAGUGUCGGGGCGCCUCGCGGGCUGCGGCCCGGGAAGGGUCCCCGAGGAAUGCGACCAAGUCCGAGCCGGGGAAGAAGGUGUAAUUAUUAUCAGCACCUAGAAACUAUCAUGCAAUGGCUGGAGUACUUUGCAGUCUGACCUUCUCCGUACUGCGCUGUUCUUAUUGGAUCUCUGGGAUUACUAACACAGCAUCAAACCAUUCUUGGGUGAAAGGUUAUCACUUCUUCAUUUGGAGUUACUAAAAAGUGAACUGUUGGGAUUUUUCAUGAUGCCUUCACUAUGUGGAUUACUACGUUUGGACCACUGGGAAUUCUCCGCUGCGAAGAAGGUAUGCUUCUUUUAAAUACUCCACAAACACUUCA
This 665-nucleotide long non-coding RNA is filed under the name Dasypus novemcinctus (nine-banded armadillo). RNAcentral describes it as "lncRNA (ENSDNOG00000051698.1)". The record is from RNAcentral. Lineage: Eukaryota; Metazoa; Chordata; Mammalia; Cingulata; Dasypodidae.